Molecule: ribosomal RNA, 546 nt
Filed under: uncultured bacterium
Lineage: Bacteria
Description: bacterial SSU rRNA
Rfam family: Bacterial small subunit ribosomal RNA
Source: RNAcentral
UGGGGAAUAUUGCGCAAUGGGGGGAACCCUGACGCAGCCAUGCCGCGUGAAUGAAGAAGGCCUUAGGGUUGUAAAGUUCUUUCGGUAUUGAGGAAGGUUGAUGUGUUAAUAGCACAUCAAAUUGACGUUAAAUACAGAAGAAGCACCGGCUAACUCCGUGCCAGCAGCCGCGGUAAUACGGAGGGUGCGAGCGUUAAUCGGAAUAACUGGGCGUAAAGGGCACGCAGGCGGUUAUUUAAGUGAGGUGUGAAAGCCCCGGGCUUAACCUGGGAAUUGCAUUUCAGACUGGGUAACUAGAGUACUUUAGGGAGGGGUAGAAUUCCACAUGUAGCGGUGAAAUGCGUAGAGAUGUGGAGGAAUACCGAAGGCGAAGGCAGCCCCUUGGGAAUGUACUGACGCUCAUGUGCGAAAGCGUGGGGAGCAAACAGGAUUAGAUACCCUGGUAGUCCACGCUGUAAACGCUGUCGAUUUGGGGGUUGGGGUUUAACUCUGGCGCCCGUAGCUAACGUGAUAAAUCGACCGCCUGGGGAGUACGGCCGCAAGGUU